Octopus sinensis (East Asian common octopus) is the source of this 367-nucleotide long non-coding RNA. RefSeq lists it as uncharacterized. The record is from RefSeq and is a predicted model, not a curated record. Lineage: Eukaryota; Metazoa; Mollusca; Cephalopoda; Octopoda; Octopodidae. The transcript has 3 exons.
CACAGAGAUAUACUCGACGAGCAGUGAUAGUCUCUUACCUCUACCUGAGUAACCACUUUACAAGUGACGGAUCCAGCUCUUUACAGAUCAAGCUAUGGUGCCGUGAACGAUGAAGCAUCGAGUGUUUGCCUACAGCAGUUACGUGAAGAAUAACGAGUCUGUCACAGCAGUUCAGCGUUAACAUGAAACCAUUGGUAGCCUUGUUCACCAACAAGUAAAGAAUAUUUAUUCACCAGUGUAUUGUUGAGCACACAUUCUCACUGUUCAAUAUUAAUGUGCAUGUGUGUGUGUGAGAGAGAGAGAGAGAGAGGGAGGGAGUGUGUGUGUGUGUGUGUGAGAGAGAGAGAUAGAGAGAGAGAGAGUGUGU